This 460-nucleotide ribosomal RNA is filed under the name uncultured bacterium. Its description in RNAcentral is "partial 16S ribosomal RNA". It matches the Rfam family "Bacterial small subunit ribosomal RNA", at positions 338 to 795 of the family's 1533-position model. The record is from RNAcentral.
CCUACGGGAGGCUGCAGUGAGGAAUAUUGGUCAAUGGGCGGAAGCCUGAACCAGCCAAGUCGCGUGAGGGAAUAAGGCCCUACGGGUUGUAAACUUCUUUUAUAAGGGAAUAAAGUCAGGCACGUGUGCCUUUUUGUAUGUACUUUAUGAAUAAGGAUCGGCUAACUCCGUGCCAGCAGCCGCGGUAAUACGGAGGAUCCGAGCGUUAUCCGGAUUUAUUGGGUUUAAAGGGUGCGUAGGCGGGUUGUUAAGUCAGAUGUGAAAUGUUGAGGCUCAACCGUGAAAUUGCAGUUGAUACUGGCAGGCUUGAGUGCAGUAGCGGUAGGCGGAAUGCGUGGUGUAGCGGUGAAAUGCUUAGAUAUCAUAAAGAACACCGAUUGCGAAGGCAGUUCACUAGACUACAACUGACACUGAGGCUCGAAAGUGUGGGUAUCAAACAGGAUUAGAUACCCUUGUAGUC